This 383-nucleotide ribosomal RNA is filed under the name uncultured bacterium. Its description in RNAcentral is "bacterial SSU rRNA". It matches the Rfam family "Bacterial small subunit ribosomal RNA", at positions 508 to 889 of the family's 1533-position model. The record is from RNAcentral.
UCAGCAGCCGCGGUAAUACGUAGAGUGCAAGCGUUUUCCGGAAUUAUUGGGCGUAAAGGGUACGCAGGCGGAUAAUCAAGUCAAGCGUGAAAGGUGUCGGCUUAACCGACAGACUGCGUUUGAAACUGGUUAUCUUGAGUGUAACAGAGGAGAGUGGAAUUCCUAGUGUAGUGGUGAAAUACGUAGAUAUUAGGAAGAACACCAGUGGCGAAGGCGACUCUCUGGGUUAACACUGACGCUGAGGGACGAAAGCUGGGGGAGCGAACGGGAUUAGAUACCCCGGUAGUCCCAGCCGUAAACGAUGGAUACUAGGUGUUGGAGGUUCGAAUCCUUCAGUGCCGAGAGUUAACGCAUUAAGUAUCCCGCCUGGGGAGUACGAUCGC